GCAUUAAUCACCAGCAUGUCCGUCGGAACCCAAGCAAAAAUAUCUGCAUUCUUUUGUAAAAAAUUGAUGAGCGAUGUCCGUACAUCUUCUCCCAGGUUGGAGCCGAUCUUCACCACAUGCUCCUCAUUCUCAUCGUUCAAAGAAAUUGAGACAAGAUCUUCAAUCGACUCACCCCGUUCUUCAGCAAGGUCGUCGUGGGUGUCUAAUCCAUCAAUCGGACAGGGGUUAGACUGAUCAUUUCUUUGUAGGGCUAUGUUAUAGCAGUGUCUUGCCAGGACUUGAUCUCCUCUAACCUCUCCGACCCUUUGGCUAGUAGAAAAUUUCAACUUCAAAUGGUAGGUCGAUACCACAGCUCGGAGGGUGUUGAGGUCGGAUCGGCCGAGUAUUGCGUUGUAGGCAGACGAUGCCCUUACUACCAGAAAAUUCACUUGCGCUCUAGAUUGUUUCGGGUACCGACCUGCAACUACGGUUAAAGUUAUUACUCCUUUCACUGGCACAGCAUCGCUAGUGAACCCUACUAACGGAGAGCUUAUCGGCCCUAAUCGACCAUCCAGAAUGGAUAUUUUUGAAAAUGCAUCGUAAAACAAAAUAUCGAUCGAGCUUCCACUAUCAACA
This 615-nucleotide long non-coding RNA is filed under the name Elaeis guineensis (African oil palm). RNAcentral describes it as "long non-coding RNA (EGUI_LNC050413)". The record is from RNAcentral. Lineage: Eukaryota; Viridiplantae; Streptophyta; Magnoliopsida; Arecales; Arecaceae.